CACGUAGGAUCCGAGCGUUAUCCGAAUUCACUGGGCGUAAAGCGCUUGCAGGCGGCUGGAUAAGUUGGAUGUAAAAUCUCCUGGCUCAACUGGGAGGGGCCGUUCAAGACUGUUCAGCUAGAGGGCAAUAGAGGGAGGUGGAAUUCCAGGUGUAGUGGUGAAAUGCGUAGAUAUCUGGAGGAACACCAGUGGCGAAAGCGGCCUCCUGGAUUGCAUCUGACGCUCAGAAGCGAAAGCUAGGGGAGCGAACGGG
RNAcentral lists this ribosomal RNA (253 nucleotides) under uncultured Bellilinea sp. RNAcentral describes it as "partial 16S ribosomal RNA". It matches the Rfam family "Bacterial small subunit ribosomal RNA", at positions 524 to 776 of the family's 1533-position model. The record is from RNAcentral. Lineage: Bacteria; Bacillati; Chloroflexota; Anaerolineae; Anaerolineales; Anaerolineaceae.